RNAcentral lists this long non-coding RNA (1114 nucleotides) under Rhinopithecus bieti (black snub-nosed monkey). Its description in RNAcentral is "lncRNA (ENSRBIG00000045055.1)". Lineage: Eukaryota; Metazoa; Chordata; Mammalia; Primates; Cercopithecidae. The record is from RNAcentral.
AGGGUGUCUGAUGGUGAAAACCCAGGCCCAUCCCAAUAGGAUGUCUGAUGGUGAAGGGCCCCCCCAAAGGGUGUCUGAUGGUGGAGACCCAAGCCUGCUCCAAUAGGAUGUCUGAUGGUGGAGGACUCACCCUAAAGGAUGUCUGAUGGUGGAGGGCUCACCCUACAGGAUGUCUGAUAGGUGGAGGGCCCACCCUGAAGGGUAUCUGAUAGUGGAGGGCCCACCCUAAAGGAUGUCUGAUGGUGGAGGACUCACCCUAAAGGAUGUCUGAUGGUGGAGGGCUCACCCUACAGGAUGUCUGAUGGUGGAGGGCUCACCCUGAAGGGUGUCUGAUGGUGAAAACCCAGGCCCAUCCCAAUAGGAUGUCUGAUGGUGAAGGGCCCCCCCAAAGGGUGUCUGAUGGUGGAGACCAAGUUCCUGUCCAGGGUGGGCAUCUGGUGGAGUAGUGCAGCCUCUCUCCCCUCCAGGGGCACAGAGCUGGGUGGGGCUGCGUGUAACUCCUGCCCUGCCCUGCAGUGCGCCUUCCUGUUGUUCUGCAUGGCUCCCAGGCCCUGGAACGGGGCUCUCAUGCUGUAUCAGCGCGUCGUGCGCCCGCUGUUCCUAAGGCACCACGGGGCCGUGGACAGGAUCGUGAACAACCUCAGCGGGCGAGCCCUGGACGCGGCAGCCGGAAUAACCAGGAACGUCUUGCAGGCCCUGGCCCGUAGCCGGGCAGGCGUCACCCCAGCGGCUGUGGCCGGGCCUUCCACUCCCCUGGAAGCUGACCUCAAGCCAAGCCAGACCCUGCAGCCGAAGGACAAGUGAAGCAGCCCCCUGGGUCUUGCAGGGACCUCCCGGCUGGUGAGGAGGGGGCCGCGCCGGGCUCCCAGGCCUCCACAGAGUCUUCAGCGCAUCUCCCGACGGCAGCCCCCGCCAGUCCCUCGGGUCCAGGCAAGGCCCUGGGGGUCUCCUUAAAUGCCACCUCGGGCAAGUCCCAGUCCCAGUCCUCGGCCACCCCCAGCUCUGAAUCCCAGGGCCAGCUGCCCUCCGGCUCUGGCCAUGGCAAGGCCCAGGGCCAGCGUCGGGCACGGGGCAGCUCCCAGCGGUCUCGGCAACGCACCCAGCUGCCUGGUAC